UACGUAGGGUGCGAGCGUUAAUCGGAAUUACUGGGCGUAAAGCGUGCGCAGGCGGUUUUGUAAGCCAGAUGUGAAAUCCCCGGGCUCAACCUGGGAACUGCAUUUGUGACUGCACGGCUGGAGUGCGGCAGAGGGGGAUGGAAUUCCGCGUGUAGCAGUGAAAUGCGUAGAGAUGCGGAGGAACACCGAUGGCGAAGGCAGCCCCCUGGGCCGACACUGACGCUCAGGCACGAAAGCGUGGGGAGCAAACAGG
Molecule: ribosomal RNA, 253 nt
Filed under: uncultured bacterium
Lineage: Bacteria
Description: partial 16S ribosomal RNA
Rfam family: Bacterial small subunit ribosomal RNA
Source: RNAcentral